GAUGAACGCUAGCUACAGGCUUAACACAUGCAAGUCGAGGGGAAACGAUGAGAGAGCUUGCUCUCUUAGUCGUCGACCGGCGCACGGGUGAGUAACGCGUAUCCAACCUGCCUCUGACCAAGGGAUAACCCGUCGAAAGUCGGACUAAUACCUUAUGCAUUCGUCUGAAGUCAUCUGAUGACGACGAAAGAUUUCAUCGGUGAGAGAUGGGGAUGCGUCUGAUUAGCUUGUUGGCGGGGUAACGGCCCACCAAGGCGACGAUCAGUAGGGGUUCUGAGAGGAACGUCCCCCACAUUGGAACUGAGACACGGUCCAAAGUCCUACGGGAGGCAGCAGUGAGGAAUAUUGGUCAAUGGGCGUAAGCCUGAAACAGCCAAGUAGCGUGCAGGAUGACGGCCCUAUGGGUUGUAAACUGCUUUUAUGCGGGGAUAAAGUGAGGGACGUGUCCUUCAUUGCAGGUACCGCAUGAAUAAGGACCGGCUAAUUCCGUG
This 491-nucleotide ribosomal RNA is filed under the name uncultured bacterium. Its description in RNAcentral is "partial 16S ribosomal RNA". It matches the Rfam family "Bacterial small subunit ribosomal RNA", at positions 28 to 507 of the family's 1533-position model. The record is from RNAcentral.